Transfer RNA from Pisolithus microcarpus 441, 83 nucleotides. It matches the Rfam family "tRNA". Rfam says of the family: Transfer RNA (tRNA) molecules are approximately 80 nucleotides in length. Their secondary structure includes four short double-helical elements and three loops (D, anti-codon, and T loops). Further hydrogen bonds mediate the characteristic L-shaped molecular structure. tRNAs have two regions of fundamental functional importance: the anti-codon, which is responsible for specific mRNA codon recognition, and the 3' end, to which the tRNAs corresponding amino acid is attached (by aminoacyl-tRNA synthetases). tRNAs cope with the degeneracy of the genetic code in two manners: having more than one tRNA (with a specific anti-codon) for a particular amino acid; and 'wobble' base-pairing, i.e. permitting non-standard base-pairing at the 3rd anti-codon position. Lineage: Eukaryota; Fungi; Basidiomycota; Agaricomycetes; Boletales; Pisolithaceae. The record is from Rfam.
AGUCCCAUAGCUCAGUGGUAGAGCAUUGUACUUAUGAGGUUACCGUCAUGCAAGGGUCCCGAGUUCAACCCUCGGUGGGACUA